ACUGAACGCUGGCGGCAGGCUUAACACAUGCAAGUCGAGCGGGGGAAGGUAGCUUGCUACCGGACCUAGCGGCGGACGGGUGAGUAAUGCUUAGGAAUCUGCCUAUUAGGGGGGGACAACAUCUCGAAAGGGAUGCUAAUACCGCAUACGUCCUACGGGAGAAAGCAGGGGAUCUUCGGACCUUGCGCUAAUAGAUGAGCCUAAGUCGGAUUAGCUAGUUGGUGGGGUAAAGGCCUACCAAGGCGACGAUCUGUAGCGGGUCUGAGAGGAUGAUCCGCCACACUGGGACUGAGACACGGCCCAGACUCCUACGGGAGGCAGCAGUGGGGAAUAUUGGACAAUGGGGGGAACCCUGAUCCAGCCAUGCCGCGUGUGUGAAGAAGGCCUUAUGGUUGUAAAGCACUUUAAGCGAGGAGGAGGCUACUUUAGUUAAUACCUAGAGAUAGUGGACGUUACUCGCAGAAUAAGCACCGGCUAACUCUGUGCCAGCAGCCGCCGUAA
Molecule: ribosomal RNA, 501 nt
Filed under: uncultured bacterium
Lineage: Bacteria
Description: partial 16S ribosomal RNA
Rfam family: Bacterial small subunit ribosomal RNA
Source: RNAcentral